RNAcentral lists this ribosomal RNA (403 nucleotides) under uncultured bacterium. Its description in RNAcentral is "bacterial SSU rRNA". It matches the Rfam family "Bacterial small subunit ribosomal RNA", at positions 28 to 432 of the family's 1533-position model. The record is from RNAcentral.
GACGAACGCUGGCGGCGUGCUUAACACAUGCAAGUCGAGCGGUAAGGCCCUUUCGGGGGUACACGAGCGGCGAACGGGUGAGUAACACGUGGGUGACCUGCCCUCAGCUCUGGGAUAAGCCUGGGAAACCGGGUCUAAUACCGGAUAUGACUCCAUGACGCAUGUUGUGGGGUGGAAAGCCUUGUGCGGCUGAGGAUGGGCCCGCGGCCUAUCAGCUUGUUGGUGGGGUGAUGGCCUACCAAGGCGACGACGGGUAGCCGGCCUGAGAGGGCGACCGGCCACACUGGGACUGAGACACGGCCCAGACUCCUACGGGAGGCAGCAGUGGGGAAUCUUGCGCAAUGGGCGAAAGCCCGACGCAGCGACGCCGCGUGAGGGAUGACGGCCUCGGUGUAACGUACUU